UGCGUCUCCCUCUUUGGAGUGGGCCGCGGGGAGUAAGAUAUCUUUAAUCCAUUAAUCUGUUUUAAACCAGUUUUGUCUGAAGCAAUGUAUCAUUGAAUUGACCUAAUUCGAAAAUACAACUUUCAACAACGGAUCUCUUGGCUCUCGCAUCGAUGAAGAACGCAGCGAAAUGCGAUACGUAAUGUGAAUUGCAGAAUUCAGUGAAUCAUCGAAUCUUUGAACGCACAUUGCGCUCUCUGGUAUUCCGGAGAGCAUGCUUGUUUGAGUAUCAGUAAAACACCCUCAGCUCUCUCGUUUCUCCUGUUAAAAGGAAGGCGAGGGAACUGGACGUGAGUGAUCCCAACGGCAGUUUGAUUGUAAAAGAAAACCGCUGGCGGGUCGCUUGAAAUGCAGGUGCGGCUGGACACAUCUUCUGAGCUAUAAGCAUUACUUAUUUAAUCCCGUUAAACGGAUUAUUUCUAUUGCUGCAGCUAACAUAAAGGUUGAUUGUCCUUGUGCCCGACUGAUGCAGGAAAACAAAGAGACAAUCUUUGUUCAACUCGAUCUCAAAUCAAGUAAGACUACCCGCUGAACUUAA
RNAcentral lists this ribosomal RNA (577 nucleotides) under uncultured fungus. RNAcentral's name for it is "eukaryotic LSU rRNA". The stretch from base 118 to 271 matches the Rfam family "5.8S ribosomal RNA". The record is from RNAcentral. Lineage: Eukaryota; Fungi.